GAGCUGAAGUCAGAUGCUUAACUGAUUGAGCCACCCAGGCGCCCCUGUGUUUCUUAUUCGUAGUUGAUCUAACAGAUAAUAGUUGGUUCAAAAUAAUAAUGACAAUGUAUUUAGUCAUUACAGCUUACAUGUGAGUGAAUGACAGCAACAUUAUAAGGAACAGCAGGGAACGAUAGGGAAUAUUCUGUUCGAGAAUACUUGGACAGCUCCAGGAGGCAGUAUGCCAUCAUUUGAAAGUGGACUUGGGUUAAUUGUAAAUGUGUACUGCAAACUCUAGGGCAACCACUAAAAAAAUAAAUAAAUAAACAAAGAGGUAUAAUUGAUAUGCUGAGACAGGGGAGAAAGGGAAUCAUAUAAGAUGCUCAAGUAAACCAGUGAAGGCAGAAAAAAAAAGGGGAGGGGAAGACAAGAAAAGAAACAAGGAACAAGGGCAAUGAAUAGAAGCCGUUACAAAUAUGGUAAAUAUUAAUCUAACUACAUCAAUAAUUCCUUUAUAUAUGAAUGGUCUAAAUACACCAACAAGUGUAUCAGUGUUUUCAAUCCAUCAUAGUAAAAUGUGCAGAUCCUCCCUCCUCCUUUUCUUGAUAAAGACUUUAUUAUAAACGCUGAUGGCACUGGCAUUAUAAAGUUGGGGAAGGAAACUGAAUUGGAAGAGAAUUAGGGAAGACACUGAGCUGGGCUUGAGAUGCCAGGUGCUGGGAGACAUCAGGUCAAUACAUUUCCCAUAUAUCGCAGGCCAGUACCUUUUGUUUUCCCCGUGUAACGUGGGGGUCCCCAAGGACCAUAGCCACUAAAGGAUCAGCUUGGUGGUGAUAUUGUACUUGACCUCCAUCAAUGUUUGUUGAGCACUUAGUGUAUAUUCGGUGUAGGUACUUGAUAUUAAAAAAUGAAUGGGGCACUGUUUCUGCAAUCACAGUGUCGGGCAGGUGAGCAUAUCACCAGAUUACUUAAAUAAUGAGCAGCAAGUUCCCGGAUUUCAUAAUUUAUGAGUUGUCUAGUUAUUAUAUUCAGAGGCCAAAACCCAAGAGUGUUUAGAUAGAUUUUGCUUGGUCCCUAUAUAUUUAAAUUAAAAAAAAAUUGUUGCUGAUAUUUAUAAGUUAAGAUAAUUCACAUAAAAAUAAGGGCUUUCAGCUUUUCUGGAAAAACUGGAAGGACUGCCGAUGCUGGCCCUGCUUUCCCACACAGUGAUGAGAGGCCAGAGCUGAGGCAAGGUUACGUCCUUUAGAUAAGGCACAUGUUCUCCAGCCCAUCACACUCCAUACCACAUCGUAUCGUCCCUGACAUUGAAGCCAAGUGUCAGUUCCUUUUUAUCCUUCUUCUUAUACUGUUCUCCUGGGUUCAUUUUACUCAUACACUUUACCUCUCAGCACUGUAAACAUUUGAGUUUAUGACCUCUAUUAGAACUGUAAUUCUCGUGAAAAGCAACAUAUAAAUGAGAACCAAAUGAGUAGUAUUUUGUUUAAUCACCAAUAUUAAAGGGAAGUCUGUUCAUGCCUGUUGUUCUUAACAGCAUUCCCUCCAAAAUGCCCCCCUGAUGUGUAACCAAAGUAGACAUUUAUCAUCAGCAGGCCUCCAAACCAUCCUUCCCAUCUCUCUCUGCUCAGGUCUGGAGAGGAAGGCUGGGCCAUUUUGGUAUGACUUAUCGUAGUUUGGCUGAAAAAGUUCAACAUCUGUUGGUAUUUAGGGCAUUCAUCGUCUCUCAGGCUGGCCAUGUGCCUCCUCUCUCUGAGAGGUCUGAGGUGGACACUGGUGGUGAGCUUCGGGGGCUGAAGGAAGUGCACUGUCAGCCCCAGGGUUUGUUUUUGCAAUGUGGGUGAUCCUGCUGUGUUUUUUCACCAUGAAACCGGAAGGGCAAAAAAGACAUGGUGGCAGGCAUUGGGAGGUAAAAUCAUGCUGGGAAGAAACAGAAGUGUCACAAAAGGUAUGCCCACGCAUUCCGUGGGCAUCUAGGUUCGGGAGAACCUGAAUUUUGUUGGUGGGCUUGAAGGAUAUUUCAGUACGGCCUUGACAAGUAGGCCUUGAAGCCUAGACAGACCUGGUCUCUUAUCUUCAUUGUUCCAGUGACUAGCCGUGAGACUUAGGGCUUGAGACUGCCUCUCUCUGCUUUAGUUUUCUUUUCUCCAAAAGGGAAAAACUAGUAGUAUCUUAUAUUUGAUGUGUGUGUGUUGGGGUGUGUGUUGUCAAAUUAGAUGGCAGGGAAUGGGUUUGGUGGGUUUAAGUUAUCUUUCUGUGCUGUUAUAGCCUAGACUGGUUCUCCAUUGGGCACUUGUGUAUAAUGUUUGAUGUGAACGUGAUAUGGUCACCCAAAGUGUUGAUAUGGUUUGGACUUAUAUGGAGAGGAAACCAUUGUUUUUUUUUUUUUAACGUAAGGCAGAAGGUCUCAACCUAAGAAGGAAUUCAUGAUGUUCGGCACUACAGUCCUGCCAAUACCUGGGGAUGCAUGUCUCCAUGACUAGAACCUACUUUUCUUCACUAGUACCUCUUGCCUGGUUAGUAAAGCCUGCAUGGAAGCAGUCUCAGGCAUCACAUCUCCCGGACAACCAGGGGGCUGUUGUGUUUUCCUCUAAGUUGGUUUCAACCCAUCUGCCUUUGGAACAAUUGGAAGUCUGUAUUUUUACGAGGAGCCCGUGACUCUUGGUGAUGUUGGAAUCGUAUGACAUAUACAGUCAUUUCUAACUUCCAUUUAUGUAUCCUUUACUAUUUCUGCCAAGCAGGAAUCAUUCAGGCUGCAUUCACCUAAAUCAUGGUGGACUUGGAACGUCUGCCACAUACAAAUGGCAACUGGCUAAAAGAAUAUAUUGCCAAACUCCAAGUCCACAGCUUGCUCCUGAACUCUUUCCAACUACGGAUUUUUGAUUAACUUCAUCAACUAUUGUCCUGCUACAUUUGCCGCUGAACAGAUGACACGUAUAUGGUUGGCUUAGUGGAAAAUUGUAUUGGGACAGCCUUUGGAGCCUUUUAAAACAGGUAUUGGUGAUUGUCUUGGAACUCGGGCUAUUUCUGCCUGUUCAUUUACUGGUUUCAAAUCAGCUUCAGAACUGUGUUUCAUCAUUUAGAUUCUGAAAUUUAUUUGUGAAAUAUUACAACACAAGAAACCUGGAGUGAUUCUAAGUUUCUUAAAGACAAGGAUUCAUUUUGUUUAUUUCUGCAUGUCCACAACAAAAAGUUUCUGGCACAUAGGAAAUGUUUAGCAGGUAUUUGUGGAGUAUGGAAUGACUGAAUGUAAGUGGUGGGGAUCUUCUUUUAUUUUCAUCUUUUUGUUUUCUAUUUUAUUAGAUUUUAUUAUAAGACUUAUAAUAGGUACAGUAUAUUAAUAAAGUGAUUCAGAGAUAUA
Felis catus (domestic cat) is the source of this 3334-nucleotide long non-coding RNA. RefSeq lists it as uncharacterized. The transcript has 4 exons. The record is from RefSeq and is a predicted model, not a curated record. Lineage: Eukaryota; Metazoa; Chordata; Mammalia; Carnivora; Felidae.